UAUUCUGCCCCAUGGGGAAGGAUGAGAAGCUUCGACUAAGGUUCGACUCGAGCGAAGCGAGAGAACGUUGCCGCAGGCAACGGCCCGAAGGGCGAGGCGCUUUAGCGCCGAGUAAUUCUUCCCCCACCACUG
This 132-nucleotide small RNA is filed under the name Klebsiella pneumoniae. Its description in RNAcentral is "RtT sRNA". It matches the Rfam family "RtT RNA". Rfam says of the family: This family represents a bacterial cis-regulatory element known as RtT RNA. The exact function of RtT is unknown although it is thought that it may be involved in changing the cellular response in relation to amino acid starvation. Lineage: Bacteria; Pseudomonadati; Pseudomonadota; Gammaproteobacteria; Enterobacterales; Enterobacteriaceae. RNAcentral also lists the same sequence under 5 other names. The record is from RNAcentral.